This 68-nucleotide transfer RNA is filed under the name Marmota monax (woodchuck). RNAcentral's name for it is "tRNA.Ala". Lineage: Eukaryota; Metazoa; Chordata; Mammalia; Rodentia; Sciuridae. The record is from RNAcentral.
GUUGUGGCUCAGUGGUAGAGCGCUUGCCUAGCAUCUAUGAGGCACUGGGUUUGAUCCUCAGCACGACA